GGACCUGAGGUCAGACGAGAUGACCCGCUGAAUUUAAGCAUAUCAGUAAGCGGAGGAAAAGAAACCAACCAGGAUUCCCUCAGUAAUGGCGAAUGAAGAGGGAGAGAGCCCAGCCUCGAAUCCGCCAGACCCAAGGCGUGCUGGUGAGGAACUGUGGGGUAAGGGACCGGCGACACGGGGACGAUGCGGGCCCCCAAGUGCUCUGGAACGUGUCCCCCAGAGAGGGUGAUAGGCCCGUCCGGGGCUGCCCCGACGGCGACGUCCUCCCCCAGUCUGCCGAUGAAUGGUCCCGAGAGUCCGGCUGCUUGGGAGUGCAGCCCAAACGCGCCCUUUGGAGGGUUGUAGGUGGUAAGCUCCAUCUAAGGCUUUAGAAAUACGGACGCGAGACCGAUAGCGAACAAGUACCGUGAGGGAAAGUUGAAAAGGACUUUGGAGAGAGGGUCAAAAGUACGUGAAACCGCCUAGAAGGAAACGAAUGGGGCCACAAAGUCUGCCCGCCGGGCACUCAGCCGCGAGAGGGUCUCUCUGUUUGGUGGGGCGCGUCUGCGGAUGGGGGAAAAAGGUAGUGGCAACACUCCGCAAAAACUCCACCCACCCUGCGCGUCUCUCGACACGCCCGUCUCCGGUGCACUUGCCCGCGGGAGAGCGCUGCGACCAGUUUCCGGGCCGCAAGAAGCCGCGGUGGGAAAGGUAGCCCACGGUGUCCUCCCUGCAGUGGGGAGACGGCACUCGAGGGGAACUUAUAGACCCACCCGACAUGGUGUGACGGCCGAGAGAGACUGCGUGUAAACUACUGAUGAUUCCGAGUGGAGUUGACUGCAAUAGGCUAGAUAGGGCGACUCGUCUGUCGCUCGAACUAAUGGCGCGAUCUGUGCUUGCCGCGAGGGGGAAGGGAAAAAAAAAAGAGAAGGGCCAAAACGGAACGAGGCCAGAGCUCUGCAUCCGUCGGGAAGGGAAAAAGGUGGGGAGGAGUCGGUAACCCUCUCCCCCCCACUCCAGACUGCUACUUGCAGUGGGGUCCUUACCCGCAUCGAGAUGGUCAAGAGUCGGAAAGAGUUGCCUCGCCUUCGAGGGGUAAAACCUCAACCUCCCCCCCCCUCAGUCCAACGACGCCGGCUAGUCGCACGGAGAAGACCGCAGCAGUAAAGGGGGAGCAGUGAGCACCGAGUCCUGCCCGAGGGGGUGGAUAGGUCGGUCCAAAGGACUCGUCGGUGGGCCUGAGAGGUGACCCUUCCUGGCACGCCCAGUCGAAGUGGAGAGGUGCUCCCCGCAGGUAGUCGUGGCGAUUCGGUUGGCCGCCCAUACGACCCGUCUUGAAACACGGACCAAGGAGUCUAACAUGUGCGCGAGUCGCAGGGCUUUGAGACGAAACCCGAAGGCGCAACGAAAGUGAAGGCGGGGGUAGGAUGCCGGCCCCCAAACCGCAGUGAAGGGUCGGCCGCACUACCGGCCCCUCCGGGCCCUCCAACGCCCAGGGGGGAGCCAGAGCGCACACGUUGGGACCCGAAAGAUGGUGAACUAUGCUUGAGCAGGCUGAAGCCAUGAGAAAUCAUGGUGGAGGGCCGAAGCCGUUCUGACGUGCAAAUCGAUGGUUGGACUUGAGUAUAGGGGCGAAAGACUAAUCGAACCAUCUAGUAGCUGGUUCCCUCCGAAGUUUCCCUCAGGAUAGCUGGCACCGUUGCGACGCAGUUUUACCCGGUAAAGCGAAUGAUUAGAGGAGCCCCUCUGGCUGGGCGCUCGGAGGCGAAACGCCUUUGACCUAUUCUCAAACUAUAAACGGGUAAGAGAGCCCGCUCGUCCUAGACGGAGCGGCAUCCGGUUAACAAUCUCUCCCCCUGGAGACUCGGUGAGGCGGGGUGGGACGGGCGUCUCUGGCUGUGGGCAGCCCACCAUCGAGGAGGCCGCACCCCUAGCCCUCGACAGGGGGGAGUGUCGGCGGCGACGGCACGGGCAGGCAGGUAGGUAGGUAGGUAGGUAGGUGGGUGGGGGGGGUGCAUGCUCUCUCUACCUUGCCUGCCCCCGGCCUUGCCUUGCCUUGCCUUGCCUUGCCUGCCGCCGGCGUUCGAAAGAAACACAAAAGCUCGGAGAGAAUGCGUGGUGCCAAGUGGGCCAAUUUUGGUAAGCAGAACUGGCGCUGUGGGAUGAACCAAACGUGGGGUUAAGGUGCCUAACGAGUCGCUCAUUAGAAACCAUGAAAGGUGUCUGUUGAUAUAGACAGCAGGACGGUGCCCAUGGAAGUUGGGACCCGCUAAGGAUCGUGUAACACCUCACAGUUGUGUGAAAAAGUUGCUCUUAAGAGCUCUUAAGAGCAAAUUUUACCCCCGGACUUGCUCUUAAGAGAGUCCGGACUGCUCUUAAGGUUCGGACUAUUGCUCUUAAGACACAACUUGCUCUUAAGCAGUUGUUGCUCUUAAGACGGACUGUACUUAAGAAACAUAGUUUCUUGGAAAAUUGCUCUUAAGAAAAUAAGUUGAAGUUUUCUUAAGAGCAAAGUUGUGUGCAAAGUUGCUCUUAAGAAAGAAAGAACUUUUUCUGAAAAUCCUUAAGUACAGUUUGCUGCACAACAAGUGUUUAAGGUUGUGUAAAGUAUUACUCUUAAGAGUUAGGGUUAGGGUUAGGGUUAGGGUUAGGGUCUCUUAAGAGCAAAAAGUUUACACAACUAGUCCGACUGCUCUUAGAAACAAAUUGCUCUUAAGAAAUAAAUAAUUUUAAUUUUUUUUUUUUUUCAGUUGAGUUGUGUCCAAAAAGUGAUCUUAAGAAAUUUUUUUUUCAAUAUGUCCAAG
Molecule: ribosomal RNA, 2783 nt
Filed under: Trypanobia cryptica
Lineage: Eukaryota; Metazoa; Annelida; Polychaeta; Phyllodocida; Syllidae
Description: partial large subunit ribosomal RNA
Rfam family: Eukaryotic large subunit ribosomal RNA
Source: RNAcentral